Long non-coding RNA from Camellia sinensis, 754 nucleotides. RefSeq lists it as uncharacterized. NCBI's taxonomy places the organism in Eukaryota, Viridiplantae, Streptophyta, Magnoliopsida, Ericales, Theaceae. The record is from RefSeq and is a predicted model, not a curated record.
AGCAACCAUCACCACCUCCCAAUAAGUCCCAUACCUCUCUCUCCUAUUCUUUUUUUAUCUCGGAGCCCUGAUUUUAACCCUCUAGGUGUCACUCUCUCUUAAGAGAUCCUACACUUCCUGCCAUCGACUUAACCGCCGUCGUCUCCAUCAUCAUCUCCAACUUAAACAACCAAUUUGAUAACGCCCAACCCCCUGCUGCGACGACGAAACCCUAGAUGUGUUCGAGCUCGAUUACAAACUGGUAUGUAUGUAGUUCAUAAUCGCCCAAUGGAGGAGGAGAAGAAGAACAAAAAUGUGAUUCGAUUGGAGCGGGAGAUCGUAAUUCUAAUUCUGAAGCCGAAACUCAUCAUGACGUUGGCCAAUCUCAUUGAUGCUAUGCUUGCCUUCAUCCAAGGGCUGUGAACUGCUGGAAGAAGAAGUGUGGCUAUAGCAACCAGCUUAGGCCCAAGAAGAAGAACAAGUGAAUACUAGUGAAAUUUCUGCAUCUAGAGGUGGAUCUGGAGCGUUGAAUUCUAAACAAAAUAUUUCCUAAAUAAAAGUUUGCUUCUUGUGGAAUGCAUGCCUGUGAAGAAUGCGACUAACUUUAGUUUUUGUUACCUACGGAGAAUGAUGAGGAAAACUUUUGUUUUUGGUUUAUGUUAUUUUAAAUUAUGAACAACAGUAUGUAUUUAAACAUUAUAUAUGUAUUAUGGAAUAUUAUGUAGUGGGUUAAUUUUGCUAAUGUGUAGUUAUGAAUGCAAGAAUAUUUUUAUUA